AGUGAACGCUGGCGGUAGGCCUAACACAUGCAAGUCGAACGGCAGCACAGUAAGAGCUUGCUCUUACGGGUGGCGAGUGGCGGACGGGUGAGGAAUACAUCGGAAUCUACUUUUUCGUGGGGGAUAACGUAGGGAAACUUACGCUAAUACCGCAUACGACCUACGGGUGAAAGCAGGGGAUCUUCGGACCUUGCGCGAAUGAAUGAGCCGAUGUCGGAUUAGCUAGUUGGCGGGGGAAAGGCCCACCAAGGCGACGAUCCGUAGCUGGUCUGAGAGGAUGAUCAGCAACACUGGAACUGAGACACGGUCCAGACUCCUACGGGAGGCAGCAGUGGGGAAUAUUGGACAAAGGGCGCAAGCCUGAUGCAGACAUACCGCGUGGGUGAAGAAGGCCUUCGGGUUGUAAACCCCUUUUGUUGGGAAAGAAAAGCAGCAGGUUAAUACCCCGCUGUUCUGACGGUACCCAAAGAAUAAGCACCGGCUAACUUCGUG
Molecule: ribosomal RNA, 492 nt
Filed under: uncultured bacterium
Lineage: Bacteria
Description: partial 16S ribosomal RNA
Rfam family: Bacterial small subunit ribosomal RNA
Source: RNAcentral